AACUAACGCUGGCGGCGUGCCUAACACAUGCAAGUCGUACGAGAAAGUUGGCUUCGGCCGAUGAGUAAAGUGGCGCACGGGUGAGUAAUGCGUGGAUAAUCUGCCCUUUAGUUGGGAAUAACGUACCGAAAGGUGCGCUAAUACCUGAUAAUACUGCAUAACUACUGUUGUGUAGUCAAAGAAGGCCUCUGUUUACAAGCUUUUGCUGAAGGAUGAGUCCGCGUACCAUUAGCUGGUUGGUGGGGUAAUGGCCUACCAAGGCUACGAUGGUUAGCUGGUCUGAGAGGAUGAUCAGCCACACUGGAACUGAGACACGGUCCAGACUCCUACGGGAGGCAGCAGUGAGGAAUAUUGCGCAAUGGGGGAACCCUGACGCAGCAACGCCGCGUGAGUGAGGAAGGUUUUCGGACCGUAAAGCUCUGUCGAGCGGGAAGAAAUGUAAUCAUGGCUAAUAUCCAUGAUACUUGACGGUACCGCUAAAGGAAG
RNAcentral lists this ribosomal RNA (486 nucleotides) under uncultured bacterium. Its description in RNAcentral is "bacterial SSU rRNA". It matches the Rfam family "Bacterial small subunit ribosomal RNA", at positions 29 to 490 of the family's 1533-position model. The record is from RNAcentral.